RNAcentral lists this ribosomal RNA (253 nucleotides) under uncultured bacterium. RNAcentral describes it as "partial 16S ribosomal RNA". It matches the Rfam family "Bacterial small subunit ribosomal RNA", at positions 524 to 776 of the family's 1533-position model. The record is from RNAcentral.
UACAGAGACUGCAAGCGUUAUUCGGAUUCACUGGGCGUAAAGGGUGCGCAGGCGGCCAAGUGUGUGAGGCGUGAAAGCCCGAUGCUCAACAUCGGAAUUGCACCUCAAACUACAUGGCUAGAGCAUUGGAGAGGGUAGCGGAAUUCACGGUGUAGCAGUGAAAUGCGUAGAUAUCGUGAGGAACACCAGUGGCGAAGGCGAGUCCCUGGACAACACCUGACACUGAGGCACGAAAGCGUGGGGAGCAAAAGGG